RNAcentral lists this ribosomal RNA (460 nucleotides) under uncultured bacterium. Its description in RNAcentral is "partial 16S ribosomal RNA". It matches the Rfam family "Bacterial small subunit ribosomal RNA", at positions 338 to 795 of the family's 1533-position model. The record is from RNAcentral.
CCUACGGGUGGCAGCAGUGAGGAAUAUUGGACAAUGGGCGAGAGCCUGAACCAGCCAAGUAGCGUGAAGGAUGACUGCCCUACGGGUUGUAAACUUCUUUUAUAAAGGAAUAAAGUGAGGCACGUGUGCCUUUUUGUAUGUACUUUAUGAAUAAGGAUCGGCUAACUCCGUCCCAGCAGCCGCGGUAAUACGGAGGAUCCGAGCGUUAUCCGGAUUUAUUGGGUUUAAAGGGAGCGUAGGUGGGUUGUUAAGUCAGUUGUGAAAGUUUGGGGCUUAACCGUAGAAUUGCAUUGGAUACUGGCAGCCUUGAGUACAGUUGAGGUAGGCGGAAUUCGUGGUGUAGCGGUGAAAUGCUUAGAUAUCACGAAGAACUCCGAUUGCGAAGGCAGCCUACUAAGCUGCCACUGACGUUGAUGCUCGAAAGUGUGGGUAGCAAACAGGAUUAGAUACCCGAGUAGUC